GAUGAACGCUAGCGGCAGGCUUAACACAUGCAAGUCGAGGGGUAGAGGUUGCUUGCAACCUUGAGACCGGCGAACGGGUGCGUAACGCGUAUGCAACCUACCUUUUACAGAGGGAUAGCCAAGAGAAAUUUGGAUUAAUACCUCAUAGUAUAUAACCUUCGAAUGUUGGUUUUAUUAAAGUUCCAACGGUAAAAGAUGGGCAUGCGUUCUAUUAGCUAGAUGGUAAGGUAACGGCUUACCAUGGCAACGAUAGGUAGGGGUCCUGAGAGGGAGAUCCCCCACACUGGUACUGAGACACGGACCAGACUCCUACGGGAGGCAGCAGUGAGGAAUAUUGGACAAUGGGCGCAAGCCUGAUCCAGCCAUGCCGCGUGCAGGAAGAAGCAUCUAUGGUGUGUAAACUGCUUUUGUACAGGAAGAAACACCCCGACGUGUCGGGGCUUGACGGUACUGUAAGAAUAAGGAUCGGCUAACUCCGUGCCAGCCGCCGCCGUAA
Molecule: ribosomal RNA, 496 nt
Filed under: uncultured bacterium
Lineage: Bacteria
Description: partial 16S ribosomal RNA
Rfam family: Bacterial small subunit ribosomal RNA
Source: RNAcentral